CACGGCACCAGCCUGACUCUCUCCCCUAAGCAGUUCUUGUCUCCCUCCUCGUAUCACCCCGGUCCUCUCUGAUGCUUUGCCACCUCCCUCGCACUUGCAGCCCCAGAACCUUAACUCCUCCCGGAGCCUCUCUGUGUGUCCCACCUGCCCACCCACACCCCAGGACCCUGACCCACUCUGAGCGGCGUCCGUGAGCAGGGAGCUCCGUGCCGUCGCUGGGGCCUGGACCAGGUGUCCCAGCACCGUCCUCAUCCCCUCUGCUUCACAGCUGCCGUCUUCCUCUCUGCCCUCCUGGGCUCGCUCUCGGAAGGAGUCCCAGGGCCUGACGAUCGGUGGCUGUGCCAGCCGGCGCCCAGGUGCGGGGACCAGGCCUACAACCCCCUGGAGCAGUGCUGUGACGAUGACACCAUCCUGCCCCUGAACCGGACCCGCCUCUGUGGCCCCCACUGCCGCUACUGGCCCUGCUUUGAGCUCUGCUGUCCUGAGUCAGUCGGUCACCCGAGACUUGUUGUGCGGCUGAGAGUCCUGGGCGUCAGCUCCCAGUGCCACUCAUCCCCCAUCUCCAGGGUCUGUGACAGAAGGAUGCCUUCCCAGAGGAGACACAGAAGAACACUAACUUCCACUAAGGCAGCCCAAAAGGAGAGGUCGGAGUGGGCUUCAAAUGUUACUCAAGUCCUGGAAGCUUUGUGAAUCAUCGACACUGAAAGUAAGCAGGCAACAGUCAGAACCCCUGUUACAUGGUACCCUCAGGCUUCGGAGCCCCUCUUGACAAGCUGUGUCCCAAACCUGCUCGGUAAUAUUAUGUCCUUAUCUUCUGGUGUUCCUAGGAAGAAUCAUUCAGCCAACAGGGAAAAGGGUUGCAUUGCAGUAGAAGUUCCUUGUGUAGACACGGAAAAUGCCCCCAGCAGGCUGGAGGCAGCUGAGUGCUGUGCCCGCGCUGGGCUCCAGGUGCUCCUGUCCAGAGUGGCGGGAACUACAUCGUGACCAGCCAGCGAGGCAGAGCUGGGCAGGUCUGAUGAAGCCAUCCUCCACCUGCCUUCUGAUGAUUUGACCUUACACGGUUAACGUGGUGAUCUGGAAUAGGCUGUGUCUUACAGAGAGAUUAAUGCCCUUUCAUUUCAUCUUUGCGGGGACUUUUUUUCUUUGUCAAGCACAGAUAACGUAUUUUAUUCAAUGCUUUUUUGCAUGCAUCAAGAUGAUUGUCCAAUUGAUUGCUCACAUCGUUAGGUUAACAUGAAUUACAUAGCUUGAUUUUUCAAGAUUUAUUUAUUUAUUUAUUUGAGUGAGAGAGAGAAAGGGAGAGAACAGAGAGAGAGAGGUCUUCCAUCUGCUGGUUCACUCCCCAGAUGGCCACAACACCCAUGGCUGGGCCAGGCUGAAGCCACAAGCUGGGAACUACAUUCAGGUCUCCCUCGUGGGUAGCAGGGGCCCAAGUUGCUUCCCAGGCACCGUUAGCAGGGAGCUGGAUUGGAAGUGUUAGGUAGGAAGUCAGAAAUGGAGCCUGUGUGUGUGUGAGAAAGACCUGAAGACCAGCUCCCACUGCGGAAGCUCCAGAAGCCCAGCAUCUUGCAUUCAAAGUCCUGCCCGGGUCCUGAUGACCUUCCAGGGGGCCCUGCCCCUUCCACCUGGUGACCAUCCUUCCUCUAAGGCAGGGCGAUGCCAGCCAGGCGUCCCCUGUCUGAUCACUUCAGGGGGAAAAACUCAGAAAGUUUUACACCUAACAGUCCUUGUUCAGGAGGAGAAGAAGGAGAGGGGGAGGGAAGGCAAGACCCAUCCCCCUAAGAGCCGCAGCCUAAAUGUGAACUGCGCACUCUCUCUCAGAUCCUGUCUGGUUAGGUUCCCAUCGGAUGUCCCUACCCUAGUAAACCUUGCUGUGUUGCUUUCCCCUGCUCUCUGUCUCACGCCUGAAUUCUUUCUUGCACAAAGACAAGGACUCUUUGCUUCUCUGGUAACAUUUCUGGUAACCACAAAGGGAUUUUAAGAAGACAUUGAAGGACAGUUUUCCUUCCCUCAAGCAGGACCGGAUCUGUGGAAAUGACCGUUGAGUGUCCAGCACCCCACAGCUCUCCGAGAGCGCAGUCACCCCCACACCGCCCCCCCCCCCACCAUGGCUUAGCUAUGGCCAAAACUCCAGAGGGAUUGUAAGGAAUGGGAGGGCAAUUAGGAAGGGUAGUUGGCUGAGAGCCUGGAGACCUCCUGAGCUCACUUUUGGCUUCCUGGUGGCUGGACUGUGACCUGAGGACCUUGCCUCUCUCUUGGAGGGACGCCUGGUCACGCUGCCUACUGCUACGCAAACAGGGCUUAGCUUCAGUCAAGGCUAAUAUUGGCCCUGCAGGUAAACUCGGACGACUAGAGAUAUCAGGCAACCAUGAGCGAUAGGAGGUUCCAAACACUCAGUGCAACAAUGCGCCUACCCAACCCCACGGCCGGUCCUGCUAGGCCCGGGCAUGCACAGUCUUCCCUGUAAGUGGGGCACCACGGCCUUGCCCUGUGCUCCCUUCCAGUCAACACGGCCUGCUGCACGCACGCAGGCACAGCCAGACAUCUCUGGUGAGAGAUGAGUGCUCUCCAGGGCUGCUUUUUUCCUUUCUCCAUUUCCAAUUCAAUCCCCCUCCUCACUAGGAGGGGGGAGGCCACUGCCCUCUGUCUCACGCCUGAAUUCUUUCUUGCAUGAACUUGAGGACCCUUUGCUUCUCUGGUAACAGAAGCAGAGCAGCUGGGACUCAAACCUGUGCUCCAAUAUGGGAAGUGGGUGUCCCAAGUGGAAACUCACCCUGCUGCUCCAGGACACCAGCCCCUGUUGCUUUUCUUUUCUUCAUUUGCAUUGCGUUUACUUGCACCUUUCUCUUGAUUUCUAUUAUAACAGGGUUAGCAUAGCAAUUUGCACAAAAUUCUUAUAUGUAGACAAUAUUGCCCUCGAAUUACAAGUACUUGGGAUCACAAGCCCUGUGACAUUGGAAACUAAGAGGAAGUAGAAAGAGGUCACUACUGUUCACCCCACCAUUCUGUCAUUCUAGCACAACCAUGGGAGCAAAUUAUUUUUUUUUCUGAAAAGGAAAGAAAAAAUAUAAAUAAUUUUCAAAAUCAUCCAAGCCAUAGAAUAUUUAGGAAAAAAAUUAAUAGAACAUGUACAAGAUCCAUACAAUGAAAACUGCAAAACAUCAUUGUGAUUUUAAAGAGACCUAAGUACAUGGAGAUCCGUGCCGUGGUUGUUUAUUGCAGAGCUAGAGAAUGGCAGCAGCCAAGGUAGAAGUCAACGGGACUUCCUUGGAACCGGGUCGUGAUGAGGCGCUGGCCAUGAUCCCAGCUAACUCUCUUUUCCUGAUCCUUCCCCCAACCACUUCUGAACAUAAGGCAGAGACAACCUUCUCUGAAGAUCCCUGGCCAUCAUCAUCGUUGAACACAUAGAUUCAGACAGGUGCAUCACUGCUGGCCGCCCAACCUACAGUCAUGGUGGGAUUGAAAGAGAACUCAGAAACCUGGAGGAGGCGGCUGCUGAGAUGGGGAAGGGCUCCUUGGUUAUUCCUGGUAUUGCAUACACUGAACACGGUGUCACCAUUGACACCUCCCUGUGGAAAUCUGAGACCAGCAAGUGUCUAUCACUGGCGACCCAGGACACAGAGACCUUAUCAAAAGCGCAACUGCAGGGGCCAACACUGUGGCAUAGCGAGUCAGGCAUCCCAUAUGGGCACUGAAUAGCAUCCUGGCUGUUCCACUUCUGAUCUGGCUUUCAGCUGCUGUGCCUGGAAAGGCAGCAAAGGGUGGCCCAAGUGUUUGGGCCCCUGCCACCCAUGCAAGAGACCUGGAUGGGGAUCCCGGCUUUGACCUGGCCCAGCCCUGGCUGUUGUGGUCAUUUGAGGAGUGAAUCAGAAGGUGGAAGACCUCUCUCUCUCUCUCUGCCUCCGCUUCUCUCUCUCUCUCUCUCUCUCUCUCUCUGUGUAUCUCUGUCUUUCAAACAAAUAAAUAAAUCUUGAAAAAAAAAGAGAGAAGAAGACAGGGGAGAGGAAGUACUUGGGCCAUCUUCCACGGCUUUCUCAAGCCAUAGCAGAGAGCUGGAUCAGACUGUAGCAGCCAGGACUCGAACCAUUAUGCCACAGUUACGGACCGGCCCUUUAAGAACAUGGCUCUGAAAUGACUUUCAGCUGUCGAGUUCGCUUGUCUGUCGGUCUCCUGGCCCUUUCCUUGUGAGAGAGCCUUGAGCCAUGGUCGGGAUUUGCUCUUUGCCUUGGAUAUUGAGAACCCCCGAAGGUGCAUAUCGUGGGUAGGGCUCUGCACUUCCACCAGGGGGCACCAAACACACAGUUGUCUCAGUUUAAUAUUGGAAGCCAUGUAUGGUUACUGCUUAAAUCCGUUUACCCUUGGUAGCUCAUGACGAGAGCCUUGGGCGAUUACUGACGUCAUAAAUAAGCGUGUCAAUUAUUAAAUCAACAACAGGAGUCACUGUGCACUUACUCUCCAUGUAGGAUCUCUGUCCUUAAUAUGUUGUACUAUGUGAAUUAAUGGUAAAACUAGUAUUCAAGCAGUACUUUAUACUUUGUGUGUCUGUGUGGGUGCAAACUGUUGAAAUCUUAGUAUAUACUAAGUUGAUCUUCAUUAUAUAAAGAUAAUUAAAAAAGAAUAUUAAUGAAGAAUGGGAUGGGGGAGCGAGUAGGAGAUGCGAUGGUUUGCGGGUCGGAGGGUGGUUAUGGGGGUGUGUGGAAACUGCUAUAAUCCAGAAGUUGCACUUUCGAAAAUUAUAUUUAUUAAAUACAAGUUAAAAAAUAAAUGAAUAAAU
Non-coding RNA from Oryctolagus cuniculus (rabbit), 4774 nucleotides. NCBI's taxonomy places the organism in Eukaryota, Metazoa, Chordata, Mammalia, Lagomorpha, Leporidae. The record is from RefSeq and is a predicted model, not a curated record.